UGCCCAGCAACUCCUAUCCCUACCUCCUCGUGGUACUGGCCAGGGUACGGAUAAUCUUAGGGAAGAUCGGGUAACCAACCCUGAUGGGAACUUUGGUCAUAUUCUGACAGGAAAGG
RNAcentral lists this ribozyme (116 nucleotides) under Aedes aegypti (yellow fever mosquito). Its description in RNAcentral is "drz-agam-1 ribozyme". It matches the Rfam family "drz-agam-1 ribozyme". The record is from Rfam by way of RNAcentral. Lineage: Eukaryota; Metazoa; Arthropoda; Insecta; Diptera; Culicidae.